AACCGCCGUAUGCGAGGCCCGCACGUACGGUGGUGUGAGAGGAGGGCCGGGAAACCCGGCCCUCCUACUCGAU
Molecule: non-coding RNA, 73 nt
Filed under: Arthrobacter sp. BA34(2011)
Lineage: Bacteria; Bacillati; Actinomycetota; Actinomycetes; Micrococcales; Micrococcaceae
Also listed under: 1 other name
Source: RNAcentral